UGAUCAUUAAGAUGGUUGGGAAGGAUCUGUUUGUUCCCCCCCCCCAGGCUCCAACACAACUUCAUUAAUCCAUUAACUGUGCUGCAGCAGGAUUAGUGACUUCACUUCAGACCUAAACAGACUCUCCCUGUGCUUGAGAAGGUCUUCUGCAUGGUUUAGCAGCCGAUUGACACGGACUCACUAAUCUUCCUGCAGGAGGAGGAAUGCCGACUGAACAGUAUCAGUUGCCCAACGUGCUCGGCGGCUCGCGGGGGCAGGAGGAGGGCGCGUCACGGCGGCGGCGGAGUGCUCUGCUCUCUGUUUGCUUAAGCAGGGAGAAGCUGGAAUGCACUGAGGUUCGAGGAGAAAGCUCGUGGACAUGCCGAUCACGGGGAAUGCAGCCUUCACAGAAAACACUUUGAGUUCACUUAACAACCCCGAGAAGCAGAGAAGAAGAUGAAGAAGAAGAAGAAGAAGAAGAAGAAGAAGAGGAGGAGGCAGCGGCACGGAUCCCAAAGACCCAGCGAGGAGUUCAAAGCCUCCAAAGUGUUUUCAUGCUAAUAUUUUCUUAAAGCAUGAAAGGGAAACACAACCACCGUAAUAAAUAAUAAAUGAACAUUAAUCAUGCAGAACUAUCUUCACAUUGUUAUAGCUUGGAGGCAGAGAAAUGCUUUAACCGGGGUUCAAAUCCCUGUCGUCCCUCUCUCCUACGUGAGGAUCAAUGCGCGCAGUCACAUGCCAGUCACACCUCUCCGGAGUGUCAGUAAUCUUUAAUAAUUAAGCCGGAGAAUCAACAGCCGGGGCGGAUCGACUUUGUCAUUUUGGGAAAAGGGGAUUAGAGGUUUUUGGGAGAGCACAAGUGCAAACAGCAGCCGGGCGGAGGGCAGACGGGUAGGAGAGGGAGAGAUAGACAGACGCACAAGUGUGUAAUCUUCCACAUCAGUGGCUCCUUCUUCUUCUACUCCUGUACUAAAGGUUACAUUUAUUCCUAUCUCCCUGCUCCUCGCCUCUCUCUCUCUCUCGUCCCCUCACUGCUCCCUCGAGG
Molecule: long non-coding RNA, 1024 nt
Filed under: Cottoperca gobio
Lineage: Eukaryota; Metazoa; Chordata; Actinopteri; Perciformes; Bovichtidae
Description: lncRNA (ENSCGOG00000022220.1)
Source: RNAcentral